RNAcentral lists this ribosomal RNA (801 nucleotides) under Triticum aestivum (bread wheat). RNAcentral's name for it is "partial small subunit ribosomal RNA". Lineage: Eukaryota; Viridiplantae; Streptophyta; Magnoliopsida; Poales; Poaceae. The record is from RNAcentral.
AUGAGUGGGCAAUGCCUCCAGAACUCUGGUUGUCCAGCUAGGGCCCCUACAUGGGUCUCUGUAAUGGUUAUACUAAUAGUGGCUCUAAGACUUCAGUAUAUCAUCAAUGGUCAAAGGAUAUGGAAGGAGAUUUGCGAGGCAGCAAGAAAUGCAGGUGGGUCUGACCGUGAUGCAAAUUUAUCACCAUCUAUGAAGCCUGAUGGAAGCACCAGUGAGGAAUUUGGCACAAGAGAAUUGCUAUGGACUCUUGUAGAUGCCUAUGAUAAAACUGACGUUGCACAUGACUAUUCAAAGGACCUUCACUCAUAUCUCACAUACUGCAAACAUGUUUUUUUCCCUGGGACUGCAUGUUUAGUAGAAGAGGAGCACUUGAUAGAGAUCUUUCAGGGUCUGUACAAAGGACGGGAGGGCGAGAAUCCUAAAGCGCACAGUGAUGACAUGCGAACCACAAAUGGAGUGAACAAACGAGGCCGGGAUGGAACUUUUAUCAGUGUAAGGUGCUUUUCUGCAUCAUCAUCAGGGAUACAAAGUAUCAAGUCAGAAAUGGAAGACCAUGGAUUUUGGUACAUGCUGCCAAGGAAGUGGCCACGAUCAGAUGGUUACCUUCACUAUAGAAGGAAGACAAUGACUGGUCGUCUUGUUUGUGCUGAUUAUUACCUGUUGAUACGCUCAUUUGCCAAGCUUGGGGAAGUUGAUAUUAGGGCUAUUCAUGCUUCUGUGCUAAAACUUGAGAGGAGACUUGUCUGGAUAGAAGAAAGAACAGGCAGAAGCUUGGGUGCCUUACAGAAUCUACCUGGCUAA